CACGCAGGCGGUGACUUAAGUGAGGUGUGAAAGCCCCGGGCUUAACCUGGGAAUUGCAUUUCAUACUGGGUCGCUAGAGUACUUUAGGGAGGGGUAGAAUUCCACGUGUAGCGGUGAAAUGCGUAGAGAUGUGGAGGAAUACCGAAGGCGAAGGCAGCCCCUUGGGAAUGUACUGACGCUCAUGUGCGAAAGCGUGGGGAGCAAACG
RNAcentral lists this ribosomal RNA (207 nucleotides) under uncultured bacterium. RNAcentral describes it as "partial 16S ribosomal RNA". It matches the Rfam family "Bacterial small subunit ribosomal RNA", at positions 568 to 774 of the family's 1533-position model. The record is from RNAcentral.